GUCGUGGUAGCCUAGCCUGGUCAAGGCGCAGGGUUGCUAACUCUGUGGCGUAAGCCUCCGGGGUUCAAAUCCCCGCCACGACG
Transfer RNA from Halodesulfurarchaeum formicicum, 83 nucleotides. It matches the Rfam family "tRNA". From Rfam's summary of the family: Transfer RNA (tRNA) molecules are approximately 80 nucleotides in length. Their secondary structure includes four short double-helical elements and three loops (D, anti-codon, and T loops). Further hydrogen bonds mediate the characteristic L-shaped molecular structure. tRNAs have two regions of fundamental functional importance: the anti-codon, which is responsible for specific mRNA codon recognition, and the 3' end, to which the tRNAs corresponding amino acid is attached (by aminoacyl-tRNA synthetases). tRNAs cope with the degeneracy of the genetic code in two manners: having more than one tRNA (with a specific anti-codon) for a particular amino acid; and 'wobble' base-pairing, i.e. permitting non-standard base-pairing at the 3rd anti-codon position. NCBI's taxonomy places the organism in Archaea, Methanobacteriati, Methanobacteriota, Halobacteria, Halobacteriales, Halobacteriaceae. The record is from Rfam.